CCUGCCCUUAACUCUGGGAUAAGCCUGGGAAACUGGGUCUAAUACCGGAUAGGAGCGCCUACCGCAUGGUGGGUGUUGGAAAGAUUUAUCGGUUUUGGAUGGACUCGCGGCCUAUCAGCUUGUUGGUGAGGUAAUGGCUCACCAAGGCGACGACGGGUAGCCGGCCUGAGAGGGUGACCGGCCACACUGGGACUGAGACACGGCCCAGACUCCUACGGGAGGCAGCAGUGGGGAAUAUUGCACAAUGGGCGCAAGCCUGAUGCAGCGACGCCGCGUGAGGGAUGACGGCCUUCGGGUUGUAAACCUCUUUCAGUAGGGAAGAAGCGAAAGUGACGGUACCUGCAGAAGAAGCACCGGCUAACUACGUGCCAGCAGCCGCGGUAAUACGUAGGGUGCGAGCGUUAUCCGGAAUUAUUGGGCGUAAAGAGCUCGUAGGCGGUUUGUCGCGUCUGUCGUGAAAGUCCGGGGCUUAACCCCGGAUCUGCGGUGGGUACGGGCAGACUAGAGUGCAGUAGGGGAGACUGGAAUUCCUGGUGUAGCGGUGGAAUGCGCAGAUAUCAGGAGGAACACCGAUGGCGAAGGCAGGUCUCUGGGCUGUAACUGACGCUGAGGAGCGAAAGCAUGGGGAGCGAACAGGAUUAGAUACCCUGGUAGUCCAUGCCGUAAA
Molecule: ribosomal RNA, 667 nt
Filed under: Micrococcus luteus
Lineage: Bacteria; Bacillati; Actinomycetota; Actinomycetes; Micrococcales; Micrococcaceae
Description: bacterial SSU rRNA
Rfam family: Bacterial small subunit ribosomal RNA
Source: RNAcentral